GACGAACGCUGGCGGCGUGCUUAACACAUGCAAGUCGAACGGAAAGGCCCUGCUUUUGUGGGGUGCUCGAGUGGCGAACGGGUGAGUAACACGUGAGUAACCUGCCCUUGACUUUGGGAUAACUUCAGGAAACUGGGGCUAAUACCGGAUAGGAGCUCCUGCUGCAUGGGGGGGGUUGGAAAGUUUCGGCGGUUGGGGAUGGACUAGCGGCUUAUCAGCUUGUUGGGGGGGUAGGGGCUUACCAAGGCUUUGACGGGUAGCCGGCCUGGGAGGGUGACCGGCCACAUUGGGACUGAGAUACGGCCCAGACUCCUACGGGAGGCAGCAGUGGGGAAUAUUGCACAAUGGGCCGAAGCCUGAUGCAGCAACGCCGCGUGCGGGAUGACGGCCUUCGGGUUGUAAACCGCUUUCGCCUGUGACGAAGCGUGAGUGACGGUAAUGGGUAAAGAAGCACCGGCUAACUACGUG
This 468-nucleotide ribosomal RNA is filed under the name uncultured bacterium. RNAcentral's name for it is "partial 16S ribosomal RNA". It matches the Rfam family "Bacterial small subunit ribosomal RNA", at positions 28 to 507 of the family's 1533-position model. The record is from RNAcentral.